This 378-nucleotide unclassified non-coding RNA is filed under the name uncultured Parachlamydiaceae bacterium. RNAcentral's name for it is "contains 16S-23S intergenic spacer region". The record is from RNAcentral. Lineage: Bacteria; Pseudomonadati; Chlamydiota; Chlamydiia; Parachlamydiales; Parachlamydiaceae.
UCCUGGUUAACCCAGGCAGUCUCAUUAGAGUUCCCAUCUUUACAUGUUGGCAACUAAUGAUAAGGGUUGCGCUCGUUGCGGGACUUAACCCAACACCUCACGGCACGAGCUGACGACAGCCAUGCAGCACCUGUGCAGCAGUCCCGAAGGAACAUCUCAUCUCUGAGAUUGUCUACUGCAUGUCAAGCCUGGGUAAGGUUCUUCGCGUUGCAUCGAAUUAAACCACAUGCUCCACUGCUUGUGCGGGUCCCCGUCAAUUCUUUUGAGUUUCACCCUUGCGAGCGUACUCCUCAGGCGGUAUACUUAUCGCGUUAGCUUCGGCACAACCGGGUUUAAGUCCAGUUACACCAAGUAUACAUCGUUUACGGCAAGGACUAC